GGAAAUUGCUUCUCUGGGCCUCAAACUCCGGGGGGAUGUGCGGCGGUGCUGCUGUGUGAUCUCCGGCGGCGUCUAUGAGAACCUUCUGUUCUUUCCGGCGAUUCAAUUGCUUAAGGAUCGGUACCCGGGUGUUCAAAUCGACGUGGUGGCUUCGGCGAGGGGCAAACAGACUUACGAAUUGAACAAGAAUGUGCGAUGGUCUAAUGUAUAUGAUCCGGA
This 219-nucleotide unclassified non-coding RNA is filed under the name Hevea brasiliensis (rubber tree). Lineage: Eukaryota; Viridiplantae; Streptophyta; Magnoliopsida; Malpighiales; Euphorbiaceae. The record is from RNAcentral.